Molecule: non-coding RNA, 124 nt
Organism: Epinephelus lanceolatus (giant grouper)
Lineage: Eukaryota; Metazoa; Chordata; Actinopteri; Perciformes; Serranidae
Source: RefSeq, a predicted model, not a curated record
GCAGUGAUGGGGACAGUCAUGUCACUGGGUUUCUCUCUGUUGGUCCUGAUCACUGCUUUGUCCAGUUUGGUGAUGAUGUCGUCCUUCACACCAGAGAGCUGAAACACACAGUCGUACCUCCUCC